Molecule: unclassified non-coding RNA, 331 nt
Filed under: soil metagenome
Description: partial contains 5.8S ribosomal RNA, internal transcribed spacer 2, and large subunit ribosomal RNA
Rfam family: 5.8S ribosomal RNA (bases 1-121)
Source: RNAcentral
GAUGAAGAACGCAGCGAAAUGCGAUAAGUAAUGCGAAUUGCAGAAUUUCCGUGAGUCAUCGAAUCUUUGAACGCACAUUGCGCCCACUGGUAUUCCGGUGGGCAUGCCUGUUCGAGCGUCAUUACAACCCUCAAGCUUUGCUUGGUAUUGGACAUUGCCAGUUUCUGGCAGGUCUUAAAAUCAGUGGCGGUGCCAUUUGGCUUCAAGCGUAGUAAUUCUUCUCGCUUUGGAGAUCCAGGUGGUUACUUGCCAAUAACCCCCAAUUUUUUCAGGUUGACCUCGGAUCAGGUAGGGAUACCCGCUGAACUUAAGCAUAUCAAUAAGCGGAGGA